RNAcentral lists this ribosomal RNA (596 nucleotides) under uncultured bacterium. RNAcentral describes it as "bacterial SSU rRNA". It matches the Rfam family "Bacterial small subunit ribosomal RNA", at positions 112 to 704 of the family's 1533-position model. The record is from RNAcentral.
AAUAUAUCGGAACGUGCCCAGUCGUGGGGGAUAACGUAGAGAAAUUUACGCUAAUACCGCAUACGAUCUAAGGAUGAAAGCGGGGGACCGUAAGGCCUCGCGCGAUUGGAGCGGCUGAUAUCAGAUUAGGUUGUUGGUGAGGUAAAAGCUCACCAAGCCGACGAUCUGUAGCUGGUUUGAGAGAACGACCAGCCACACUGGGACUGAGACACGGCCCAGACUCCUACGGGAGGCAGCAGUGGGGAAUUUUGGACAAUGGGCGAAAGCCUGAUCCAGCAAUGCCGCGUGCAGGAAGAAGGCCUUCGGGUUGUAAACUGCUUUUGUACGGAACGAAACGGCUCUUUCUAAUAAAGAGGGCUAAUGACGGUACCGUAAGAAUAAGCACCGGCUAACUACGUGCCAGCAGCCGCGGUAAUACGUAGGGUGCAAGCGUUAAUCGGAAUUACUGGGCGUAAAGCGUGCGCAGGCGGUUUUGUAAGACAGAGGUGAAAUCCCCGGGCUCAACCUGGGAACUGCCUUUGUGACUGCAAGGCUGGAGUGCGGCAGAGGGGGAUGGAAUUCCGCGUGUAGCAGUGAAAUGCGUAGAUAUGCGGAGG